GAUGAACGCUGGCGGCGUGCCUAAUACAUGCAAGUCGAGCGAACAGAUGAGGAGCUUGCUCCUCUGACGUUAGCGGCGGACGGGUGAGUAACACGUGGAUAACCUACCUAUAAGACUGGGAUAACUUCGGGAAACCGGAGCUAAUACCGGAUAAUAUAUUGAACCGCAUGGUUCAAUAGUGAAAGACGGUUUUGCUGUCACUUAUAGAUGGAUCCGCGCCGCAUUAGCUAGUUGGUAAGGUAACGGCUUACCAAGGCGACGAUGCGUAGCCGACCUGAGAGGGUGAUCGGCCACACUGGAACUGAGACACGGUCCAGACUCCUACGGGAGGCAGCAGUGGGGAAUCUUGGGCAAUGGGCGAAAGCCUGACGGAGCAACGCCGCGUGAGUGAUGAAGGUCUUCGGAUCGUAAAACUCUGUUAUUGGGGAAGAACAAAUGUGUAAGUAACUAAGCACGUCUUGACGGUACCUAAUCAGAAAGCCACGGCUAACUACGUG
RNAcentral lists this ribosomal RNA (497 nucleotides) under uncultured bacterium. RNAcentral describes it as "partial 16S ribosomal RNA". It matches the Rfam family "Bacterial small subunit ribosomal RNA", at positions 28 to 507 of the family's 1533-position model. The record is from RNAcentral.